RNAcentral lists this ribosomal RNA (497 nucleotides) under uncultured bacterium. RNAcentral's name for it is "partial 16S ribosomal RNA". It matches the Rfam family "Bacterial small subunit ribosomal RNA", at positions 28 to 507 of the family's 1533-position model. The record is from RNAcentral.
GAUGAACGCUGGCGGCGUGCCUAAUACAUGCAAGUCGAGCGAACAGAUAAGGAGCUUGCUCCUUUGACGUUAGCGGCGGACGGGUGAGUAACACGUGGGUAACCUACCUAUAAGACUGGAAUAACUCCGGGAAACCGGGGCUAAUGCAGGAUAACAUGUUGAACCGCAUGGUUCUACAGUGAAAGGCGGCUUUGCUGUCACUUAUAGAUGGACCCGCGCCGUAUUAGCUAGUUGGUGAGGUAACGGCUCACCAAGGCAACGAUACGUAGCCGACCUGAGAGGGUGAUCGGCCACAAUUGAACUGAGACACGGUCCAGACUCCUACGGGAGGCAGCAGUAGGGAAUCUUCCGCAAUGGGCGAAAGCCUGACAGAGCAACGCCGCGAGAGUGAUGAAGGUCUUCGGAUCGUAAAACUCUGUUAUUAGGGAAGAACAAAUGCGUAAGUAACUAUGCGCGUCUUGACGGUACCUAAUCAGAAAGCCACGGCUAACUACGUG